AAGAACUAGCCAAAAAACAAACAAACAAACAAACACCAGGAUGUUAAUAAUACAGAAAAAAACAACCUGCUUAUAAGUAAAACUGGGGGGUAGUGAUGCUCGUGGGUUGAGGGAAACCACGAUUGGGGAUGUGAUCACUUUUCUUGAGUUGAUUGAACUUUGUUCCAUACAGAUUCUUUUUUUUUUUUUUCCUGACAGAGAGCUGCUGCAAACAAACCAAAUGAAGGAGGAGAAAGAGUCUACGACGGACGGGUAGGAACGUUUUCAUCUGCUGAUUUAGAAGAUGAAGCUGUAAUUAAUGCAACGCUCGGCCUCAAACACACACGUUGUCGGCUGGUGGGCUGCACUGCGCUGCUCUGCGUGUGGGUGGUCUAAGCCAAGCGGAGGAGAGAAGGAUUAACACCAAGGCUGCCCGGAGGAAAAGAAAAAGGAAGGAUGAAGAGAAAAUGGGAGAUGGAGAAGAGAUAAACAUCUGCACACCAGAUGUGCUGCUCAGCAUCCAGAGGUGGUUUAUGAAACAGAGAAGGCAGUGAAAAAGACUCUUUUGUUACCGGGACCCCUGCUUUAUGAGUGCAGCUUUCCUCUCCUUCUCACUCCCAGUUUUCUGUUUGCUCAGUCUGUCUGUCAUCUGCUUGUAUACAUUACACGUCCACUUGCUCUGUUUUCAUCUCUUCCUCUGCUCCUGGAGGAACCUGCCAUGAUGCAGACUUAGAUGGCUGAUCACCAGCUGUCAAAACACGUUCAGAGACAGAGCGGGCCGAGGAAGAUCGGUUCUGAAUGUGGUCUUUUUAGUCCUCUCAAGCAAUAAUAGUGCUUGGAACUCUGCUUUCUGUUUUUGUACAUUUUUAUUUUGAAGGGUUGCAAACUCCAAUUUUCAGUUCUUUAAAGUCCAACUCCAUUUAAUUUUUUAAAUCUAUUUUAAAAGCGUUCCCAGUGGUCUCUUUAAUUAUGAUUAUGAUGUUUUUAAUUAAAACCCCUGUGCCAUUUUCUAGGACAUAGUUUCUCAACAGGAGUUCAUCAGAAAUCUGCUUCUCAAUAGGAGUUAGCCUGCUCUGACUUCCCAUCAUCCCUUCGUUUACACUUUCUCUAUUAGCCAUACUACAAAAAUGAUAAGCAAGUUAUGAGCUACCCAGUCGUACAGUUUUGAGACAGAUGACAACUGGAACGUGGAAAAAUGAAUGUACAGUACAUGGAUCUAGUCAUCUACAACUGGAUGCAUCAGGAUGGAGUGGUGCUGGGAGCUUGCUGUUAAAGUUUUAAGUCACACCUACAAACUUUUUCUAAUGACAUUUUUUGAUCUGCUCCUGAUUUACAUUGAUUUAAAUAAAAAAAAAAAAA
Molecule: long non-coding RNA, 1338 nt
Organism: Oryzias melastigma (Indian medaka)
Lineage: Eukaryota; Metazoa; Chordata; Actinopteri; Beloniformes; Adrianichthyidae
Exons: 2
Source: RefSeq, a predicted model, not a curated record